This 253-nucleotide ribosomal RNA is filed under the name uncultured bacterium. Its description in RNAcentral is "partial 16S ribosomal RNA". It matches the Rfam family "Bacterial small subunit ribosomal RNA", at positions 524 to 776 of the family's 1533-position model. The record is from RNAcentral.
UACGUAGGGUGCGAGCGUUGUUCGGAAUCAUUGGGCGUAAAGCGCAUGUAGGCGGUUAGUUAAGUCUGAUGUGAAAUCCCGGGGCUCAACCCCGGAACUGCAUUGGAAACUGGCUAACUAGAGGAUGAGAGAGGAGAGUGGAAUUCCUGGUGUAGGGGUGAAAUCCGUAGAUAUCAGGAGGAACAUCGGAGGCGAAGGCGGCUCUCUGGCUCAUUUCUGACGCUGAGAUGCGAAAGCGUGGGGAGUAAACAGG